ACGCGUUCCGCAUCCAAUCCUACCCUCGCCUCGUCCCACUCCCACUCCAGCCGCCAGACAAACCCUAGCUCCCUUUCCUAUCCACACAACCUCUUCCUCCCCGCAUCACCACAGCUGCCGCUGUGGAGCCUCGCGGACGCCUGCUAUUACUCCUCCCUCGUCUCUGUCUGGUCGCCCUCUCGUGCUCCACCAUGCAGCCGCCUCUUCCUCCUCUAUUCCCUCCUACCGUGGUUCCGGAUCGGGUGCAGGCCGUCAUACUGGAGAGCAUGAGCGUCAAGGUCUUAAUGGUGGGGUGGAGAUGCAGGGGAGGUAGGGAUGUCGGAUGGAUCUGACGCCUGCUGGCUAAAGCAGCAGGAGUUGGCAGAGCGACGGAUGCGGACGCGGUCAUCAACAGGGGUUGCAAGAGAAGGAGCUCAAGUUGGUUCACGGUGUGCAGGAGGAGUUGAAGGCUGAGGUUGUUUGACGGCCGGACCAGCAAGAGCAAGGAGCCAACGGUGGUCAAUUUCUUGCAUCCCAUCCUGGACUCUAAAGGCUAUAGUUUGACCUUUUGCUUUAAUGAAUGGUUUGGGAUGGAAUUGUUGGAUAUCCAAAUGUUUGUGAAUUAUCCUUGAUUAAUUGCUUGCUAAAACAAAGAAUGCAUCCAGCAGCACCUCGACCAGGUGUCACAAGAGAACUGAAAUGAUGGAUUUCCGUAUUGUUCAGCAGGAUAUCCCUGACGAUCACAGGGAACGCUCCAAACAAAAGAAAAUAAUUGUAUCAGCCUGCAAAGCGUAAAUGCUGGACUAUUGUUUCUCCCCUGAUGCACAUGUUUCUCCACAGACAAUAUCAUGUGUGUGUGUGUGUGAUCUCUGGAAUUAGUUUUUAGGUUAUUCUUUGUGUUGAGUACUUCUGUAAUUUCCAUGGGCGAGUUUCAUAUUUUCUGUGCAUUGUCUAUCAUUCUUUUAAGUGUUUAAUGUUUCUUGUAGUUUUUGAUAUUUCGUUUCAGUCAUGUUUCAUUUGUCGCAGACCUACACCUAUUAGGAAAAGCAUAGUUUCAUUUUGAUCAUGUUUCUUUUAGUUGUUCAGUGUUUGUUCAUUAAUGUAGCAGAGUAAGCAGUACAUUUUGUCCAUUAGUUAAAUCACUCAUGUCACAUUCAGUUGAUUAGGUUCAGUUUUUGUUCCUUUCUUCUUCGUUCCUUCAAUUUUUUGUCCCUUUAUUUAGUCAUCGUGCUUGCACCAUUUGUCGGUAUUUAAGUCAAUAUAACUAUUUAGUCCAUCUCAAUGGACCCUUAUAAUUCUUGAUAGUUUCUCUCUUCAAUAGAUCAGACUUUUCUGCUUUUUCAGUUAGGCUAAUUUAUGAUUUCUAUUUCAGUUUUUAGUCUUCACUUGAUUUAGUUGGACAGUGUGUUCAGUAUUUCAAUAGUUCAGUUGUUUCAUUGAUUGACAUGUGCAUUCUCGUACUUAGUGAAGCAUCUUAAUGCAUUUUCGUACUCUGUGAAGCAUCUUAAUUUGAUUGAUAUGUGCAUUCAGUUGAGAACUCAAGAAGUAGAACAACUGUGUUUCACUUCUUCAGAUGGUAAUUUUUAUCGGUUAUAGACUUAUAGUUACAAUUACUAGAAGUAGCAAAGGUCUGGGUUUGUUUAGACCUUGAGUUGGUAGCUAUGCUUUUUUGUUUCAGAUCAUAUGUUGGUACUUCAUUUUACUCAGAUUAUAUGAAGGUGAGUGUAAUUGUGUGAUCUGGAUUAGGACGCAAUGAAAUUCAGAAGUAGUAGAAGUACACUGUUUUUUACUUUCUUUCAGAAUGAUUACUACAGAAGUACACCGCUGCAUGGUAAAUUAUUGCCAUGGCCUCAAUGGUAGGUUGUACCUGAUAGUUAUAUAUCCUACGAGUACCGGAUGGUUAACAUCCUCACCUGACAGGUAUAGAUUCCACAUAGUAGCCUAGCAGUGCAUGGAAAAACUAGGUUCAGUCCGAAGUCUGAACUCCUGAAGAAGCAAAAGCCAAAAAAUAGAGAUCAGACGACUAAAUAUGAGAGUGCAUCUUCUCCUUUUUUUGUCUUUUUUGUUGAGUGUGCAUCUUCCAACCUGGCUGUAGCCUGUAGGCUAUAAUCAACUCAAUUUUGUUUUCUCCAUGUGAUAGCCAGGACGACCACUUUUACAUUCAUCUUUUUGUUUGUGAAUUCAGUUUCUAUUAUUGCAACUGCACGCUCCAGUCAUGCUGAAUACAUGGGUACAUUUAGUAGAAGGACAUACAGAUUUAAGUUAUGCUCCUCAUUCAACUUUUGUCACACUUGUUCAGUAAUCAGUACAACUCAUUCUGCUUCAGGAUGGAAGCUUCGAAUGGCUAGCAGAACCGAGGCCGCAGGGACACCGUCGCAUUGAGGUAGUGCCAUGGCCGUAGGUGCUGAUGUCGCAUGGGCAGAACCGCGGCCGCGGGAUCUCUGCUGUGUAGUGCCACAGGCUUUGACUCGGUGUUGCGUGAUGGAAGAGCAGUGGUAAAGUUCGACAGCAUUGAAGCGAGAUGUGAGAUCCCAGCGCUCCAAAUGAUGGGUCGUGGCCGUUGGAGGGCCAACAGAGGACAAGGGCUAACAACCGGUGGUGGAGGGAGAGUCUGAGAAAUCAUGAGCUUUUUCCUUCUAUGAAAAGUGAUAAAGUUACAACAUAGUUUUCUCAAAGGUGUGCAUCAGUGCAGAUUGAGCAAGGCACAAUCUGAGAAGAAAAACAAAAAAUUAGAAACAGUGCAUCAUGUGUAUGUUUGUGAGCGGCGCCGUUGGGGGCCUGGUUGUGGCGCAGCCCUUCGGCGUGGUGCCCUCUUGCGUUGCCGCUAUGGUCGCCUCACGUUGGACGGGAGGAGAUAAGUCAAUCCCCAAUUAAGAUGCACAAUUAAGAUCCCCAAUUAAAUUGGUCACAUCAUUAUGGAAGGGGAAUGAUUGGAUAACAAACUUUAUAGAUUUAGUAUCAUAUCAUUCAUUUGUGACAGCA
Molecule: long non-coding RNA, 2961 nt
Organism: Triticum dicoccoides
Lineage: Eukaryota; Viridiplantae; Streptophyta; Magnoliopsida; Poales; Poaceae
Exons: 5
Source: RefSeq, a predicted model, not a curated record